GAUGAACGCUGGCGGCGUGCCUAAUACAUGCAAGUCGAGCGAACAGACGAGGAGCUUGCUCCUUUGACGUUGGCGGCGGACGGGUGAGUAACACGUGGAUAACCUACCUAUAAGACUGGGAUAACUUCGGGAAACCGGAGCUAAUACCGGAUAAUAUAUUGAACCGCAUGGUUCAAUAGUGAAAGACGGUUUUGCUGUCACUUAUAGAUGGAUCCGCGCCGCAUUAGCUAGUUGGUAAGGUAACGGCUUACCAAGGCAACGAUGCGUAGCCGACCUGAGAGGGUGAUCGGCCACACUGGAACUGAGACACGGUCCAGACUCCUACGGGAGGCAGCAGUAGGGAAUCUUCCGCAAUGGGCGAAAGCCUGACGGAGCAACGCCGCGUGAGUGAUGAAGGUCUUCGGAUCGUAAAGCUCUGUUAUUAGGGAAGAACAAAUGUGUAAGUAACUAUGCACGUCUUGACGGUACCUAAUCAGAAAGCCACGGCUAACUACGUG
This 497-nucleotide ribosomal RNA is filed under the name uncultured bacterium. RNAcentral's name for it is "partial 16S ribosomal RNA". It matches the Rfam family "Bacterial small subunit ribosomal RNA", at positions 28 to 507 of the family's 1533-position model. The record is from RNAcentral.